GGAAUAUUGGGAUCGGGGCGUGUCAUUCCUUCUCUCCGAUCAAAUUCUUCUCCUUCCCAAAUUUUUUGCUCAAAUCUAAAAAAUUCCAGGAGCGGAGCGGUAUUUAAAAUGUGCGAGCUCUGCUUCCAGGCCUCCCCGAAACGCUUGCAGAAAGAAAGGUGCUUGGAUGAGAGUGGACGUAGGAGCAGGGAGUGUUGCGAGGAGGGGAAGUAGUACCAUCAUCUGCUGUGUUGCAGUAGUGAAGUGAUCAGACGUCGGUAUGGCAUCUGCUAGCCAAGGGAAUGGUGGAGUUGGCAUUUCAAGGUUAACCUCACUGCAAGUGUUAACCUCACACUGUAUGGGAUUAUGAAAAGGAGGGGCUUUCUUUUGCUUUGCGUUGCAAGGUACAGAGGGAGACUUAAUUUACUAUAUUAGCCUUAUGAGUUUACGGACCUUCUAAUAUUUCAUAGCGGGCCUGGAAGUGAUUUUCCGGGAACGGGAAAGGUAAUUGAGAUUAGUCUUUGAUUGUUUGAUCAUCCUCUAUAUAUUUGAUGAAGCUUCAACUAGCGUCUACCACACAACCCCUCAUUUCUUUAUGGUAAUUGAGCUUCAUCUCUAAUUGUUUAUUGUCUGAUUAGAUUAUUAUAAUAUUUGGGUUGUUGGAUAUGUUGGAUUUGAAUUGAUUUUUUGUUUUCAUUUUUCAUGGUGAUGGAUUUUCGAAUGAAAUGCAUACAACCCUGAAUUCCAGUGGGGGUGGCUGAAGCAGCUGCCGGAUAUGACUUAUGGCAGCCAAGGGGAUCACUACACUUUGGGAGUCAAAAUGACCACACUACCCCGUUAAUGGUUCAGAUCUUGCCGUCAGGUGAUAUGAGAGUGGGGG
Malus domestica (apple) is the source of this 859-nucleotide non-coding RNA. The record is from RefSeq and is a predicted model, not a curated record. Lineage: Eukaryota; Viridiplantae; Streptophyta; Magnoliopsida; Rosales; Rosaceae.